Molecule: ribosomal RNA, 119 nt
Filed under: Aegilops tauschii subsp. strangulata
Lineage: Eukaryota; Viridiplantae; Streptophyta; Magnoliopsida; Poales; Poaceae
Source: RNAcentral
GGAUGCGAUCAUACCAGCACUAAAGCACCGUAUCCCAUCAGAACUCCGUAGUUAAGCGUGCUUGGGCGAGAGUAGUACUAAGAUGGGUGACCUCCUGGGAAGUCCUCGUGUUGCAUUCC